RNAcentral lists this ribosomal RNA (497 nucleotides) under uncultured bacterium. RNAcentral's name for it is "partial 16S ribosomal RNA". It matches the Rfam family "Bacterial small subunit ribosomal RNA", at positions 28 to 507 of the family's 1533-position model. The record is from RNAcentral.
GAUGAACGCUGGCGGCGUGCCUAAUACAUGCCAGUCGAGCGAACGGACGAGAAGCUUGCUUCUCUGAUGUUAGCGGCGGACGGGUGAGUAACACGUGGAUAACCUACCUAUAAGACUGGGAUAACUUCGGGAAACCGGAGCUAAUACCGGAUAAUAUUUUGAACCGCAUGGUUCAAAAGUAAAAGACGGUCUUGCUGUCACUUAUAGAUGGAUCCGCGCUGCAUUAGCUAGUUGGUAAGGUAACGGCUUACCAAGGCAACGAUGCAUAGCCGACCUGAGAGGGUGAUCGGCCACACUGGAACUGAGACACGGUCCAGACUCCUACGGGAGGCAGCAGUAGGGAAUCUUCCGCAAUGGGCGAAAGCCUGACGGAGCAACGCCGCGUGAGUGAUGAAGGUCUUCGGAUCGUAAAACUCUGUUAUUAGGGAAGAACAUAUGUGUAAGUAACUGUGCACAUCUUGACGGUACCUAAUCAGAAAGCCACGGCUAACUACGUG